Molecule: ribosomal RNA, 253 nt
Filed under: uncultured bacterium
Lineage: Bacteria
Description: partial 16S ribosomal RNA
Rfam family: Bacterial small subunit ribosomal RNA
Source: RNAcentral
UACGAAGGGGGCUAGCGUUGCUCGGAAUCACUGGGCGUAAAGCGCACGUAGGCGGCUUCUUAAGUCAGGGGUGAAAUCCUGGAGCUCAACUCCAGAACUGCCUUUGAUACUGAGGAGCUUGAGUCCGGGAGAGGUGAGUGGAACUGCGAGUGUAGAGGUGAAAUUCGUAGAUAUUCGCAAGAACACCAGUGGCGAAGGCGGCUCACUGGCCCGGUACUGACGCUGAGGUGCGAAAGCGUGGGGAUCAAACAGG